This 329-nucleotide small nuclear RNA is filed under the name Cebus imitator (Panamanian white-faced capuchin). RNAcentral describes it as "7SK RNA (ENSCCAG00000005691.1)". The stretch from base 1 to 280 matches the Rfam family "7SK RNA". Rfam says of the family: 7SK was discovered as an abundant small nuclear RNA in the mid-70s but a possible function has only recently been suggested. Two independent studies have found that 7SK RNA binds the CDK9/cyclin T complex (known as elongation factor P-TEFb). The record is from RNAcentral. Lineage: Eukaryota; Metazoa; Chordata; Mammalia; Primates; Cebidae.
GGAGGUGAGGGCGAUCUGGCUGUGUUUGCCAUGGUUGAUUUGGCUAAUCUGGCUGGCUAGGCGAGUGUCCCCUUGCUCCCUCAUAGCUCCAUGUGCAUUGCUCCCAAAGCUGCGUGCUUGUUCAAAGAGGACAACCAUCUGAUCUUCGGUCUUUGGUCUUCAGUUAAGGGUCAAGGGUAUAGGAGUAACUGUGCUCCUCUGCUAGAACCUCCAAACAAGCUCUCAUAAUAUGUUAACAUUUUUUAACCGUGCUCUGAUAAUGGACAUUGCAUCAGAAGCAAAUUACUGUAUUAAUAAUAGACUUGGCAAUAAUCAAUUAGAAUAUCAUG